UCCGUAGGUGAACCUGCGGAAGGAUCAUUGUC
Molecule: ribosomal RNA, 32 nt
Filed under: Uraria picta
Lineage: Eukaryota; Viridiplantae; Streptophyta; Magnoliopsida; Fabales; Fabaceae
Description: partial 18S ribosomal RNA
Source: RNAcentral